GUUCUGGGCAACUGGCUCGUGAGGCUGCCUUUGGACUCUGGUUCACACAGGCUGUCUCCCCAGGCUGCACCAGUAGAAGCUGGUCACAGCAAGCAGCGCCACCAUUGCAAGGUAGCAAGGCAGCCAGGGAGCAUGUCGGAACCCCAUUCAGUCCAGGUAGGCUGUUGCCAUAGCAACAGACAGGUGCAAUUGAGGCCUGGGCCUGCUGCCAGCCAGCCUCUUCCCUUCCAUCUGAACGUGCUCCUUUCUCCUCCUAAGUGACCUCUCUUCCUCCUCCUGAGGAGUCCCCUCUUACAGUAGAAAGCUGCCAACCAGGUCCUGCAGCCUUGGCUCUGGUACUGGACCCAGGCAGACCAUCCCCAGAAGCAGCCGCUUUCCCUGCCCGGCGGGCACCGUGGGGCUGGAACUCUACCUGGACCUGCUCUCCCUGCCCUCCCGGGCCCGUCUACCUCUUUGCCAAGACUGAACAACAUUCCUUUUGAGUUCAAACACGUGGAGCUGUUCAAAGCCGUAUCUGGAGAUGUCAGGGAUUGAUCCGUGCUCCUUCUGCAUGCAAGCAGAUACUCUACCACUGAGUGACGGCCUCUUCCAUAGACAGAGAAAUGUUCUUCAUAUCCAUAUCCAUGGGAUUUGGGGGCAUAUCUGAAGAACACUAAUAGUAAACAGGGGCCGUUACCCGAUUUUUAAAAAAACACUUCAUCAAAUGAAUUUUGAUUGCUCAAUUAAAUCUUCAUUCAUUUGCCUACAACUAAAGCAAUAGUGUUGAGAAAAAAAGGGCAUUCUUUGUUUUUAGAUGCAACAUAUGUAUGUCACAGCAGGAGGCAUUCUCUUGUUAUGUAAACUGUAUUGUGAACUCUUUUUUGUUGUUGAAAAGCAGAAUUAAAAAUAUUUGUAUAUAUUUAUUAUUGUUGUUGUUUACAGAGUCAGACAGGUGUUAUUGACUGGCUUGUUUUAUCCAGACAUUGAGUCCUUCCCAAGGAUCUGGGAUGCCUGAAUUUUAUUAUCAAUAUUGUUGUUAUUAUUACGGAUAUCGUUGCAGAAUAUCAACUUGCUUUUCUAAGCUACUGGCUUAGUAACUGUUAGGCAUCAUUGCAGUUCAUUGAUUCUGUAAUUAAAAGAUCCACGGAAAG
Hemicordylus capensis (graceful crag lizard) is the source of this 1130-nucleotide long non-coding RNA. RefSeq lists it as uncharacterized. NCBI's taxonomy places the organism in Eukaryota, Metazoa, Chordata, Lepidosauria, Squamata, Cordylidae. The transcript is spliced from 3 exons. The record is from RefSeq and is a predicted model, not a curated record.